RNAcentral lists this ribosomal RNA (414 nucleotides) under uncultured bacterium. RNAcentral's name for it is "bacterial SSU rRNA". It matches the Rfam family "Bacterial small subunit ribosomal RNA", at positions 362 to 773 of the family's 1533-position model. The record is from RNAcentral.
UCUUGGCCAAUGUACUCGAGUCUGAACCAGCCAAGUAGCGUGAAGGAUGACUGGCCUAUGGGUUGUAAACUCUUUUUAUAUGGGAAUAAAGUUUUCCACGUGUGGAAUUUUUUAUGUACCAUAUGAAUAAGGAUCGGCUAACUCCGUGCCAGCAGCCGCGGUAAUACGGAGGAUCCGAGCGUUAUCCGGAUUUAUUGGGUUUAAAGGGAGCGUAGGUGGACAGUUAAGUCAGUUGUGAAAGUUUGCGGCUCAACCGUAAAAUUGCAGUUGAUACUGGCUGUCUUGAGUACAGUAGAGGUGGGCGGAAUUCGUGGUGUAGCGGUGAAAUGCUUAGAUAUCACGAAGAACUCCGAUUGCGAAGGCAGCUCACUGGACUGCAACUGACACUGAUGCUCGAAAGUGUGGGUAUCAAAC